UUGGGAGCUCACUGGCUUCAGGUUCCAUUGGAACUCCGAAGUUAAGCCAGUAGCGCACAAGAACACUCCCAUGAUGGGUGACCCACUGGGAAGUUCUCAUGUGAGUUCCCAAAAACAAAACCGUGAGGGCGUGGUCGGCCCAAAGCGGACAAUAUCGUGCUACGGUGGUGGAGCGGGUCCCGGGAUGUGGUGGACCCCGGGUCGGGAUGUGACAAUUUGGUAUCAGAGCCAAUCUCUGGCCGGAAGUGUGCCGACGAGGACGUCGGGCCCCUAAGGUGGGUGGAUUGUGACAUUCCACAUCGCCCAGGGGAGUGAUCCGUAAAUGUAUAUUCCCAUCCUUACCUAGCACGAGAUCUUUUGGGAGCUCACUGGCUUCGGGUUCCAUUGGAACUCCAAAGUUAAGCGAGUAGCGCACAAGAGCACUCCCAUGAUGGGUGACCCACUGGGAAGUUCUCGUGUGAGUUCCC
RNAcentral lists this small RNA (467 nucleotides) under Malus domestica (apple). The record is from RNAcentral. Lineage: Eukaryota; Viridiplantae; Streptophyta; Magnoliopsida; Rosales; Rosaceae.